This 253-nucleotide ribosomal RNA is filed under the name uncultured prokaryote. RNAcentral describes it as "partial 16S ribosomal RNA". It matches the Rfam family "Bacterial small subunit ribosomal RNA", at positions 524 to 776 of the family's 1533-position model. The record is from RNAcentral.
UACAGAGGGUGCAAGCGUUAAUCGGAAUUACUGGGCGUAAAGCGCGCGUAGGUGGCAAUGUAAGUUUGAUGUGAAAGCUCAGGGCUUAACCCUGAAAUGGCAUUGAAUACUACAUGGCUGGAGGUUUGGAGGGGGGACUGGAAUUCUUGGUGUAGCAGUGAAAUGCGUAGAUAUCAAGAGGAACACCAGUGGCGAAGGCGAGUCCCUGGACAACACCUGACACUGAGGCACGAAAGCUAGGGGAGCAAACAGG